UACGGAGGGUGCGAGCGUUAUUCGGAAUUACUGGGCGUAAAGCGCGUGUAGGCGGCAGGGCAAGUCUGGUGUGAAAGCCCGGGGCUCAACCCCGGAAGUGCAUUGGAAACUGCUCUGCUUGAGUACCGGAGAGGAAGGGGGAAUUCCCGGUGUAGCGGUGAAAUGCGUAGAUAUCGGGAGGAAUACCAGUGGCGAAGGCGCCCUUCUGGACGGUUACUGACGCUGAGACGCGAAAGCUAGGGGAGCAAACCGG
Molecule: ribosomal RNA, 253 nt
Filed under: uncultured microorganism
Description: partial 16S ribosomal RNA
Rfam family: Bacterial small subunit ribosomal RNA
Source: RNAcentral